This 253-nucleotide ribosomal RNA is filed under the name uncultured bacterium. RNAcentral's name for it is "partial 16S ribosomal RNA". It matches the Rfam family "Bacterial small subunit ribosomal RNA", at positions 524 to 776 of the family's 1533-position model. The record is from RNAcentral.
UACGAAGGGGGCUAGCGUUGUUCGGAAUCACUGGGCGUAAAGCGCACGUAGGCGGAUUGUUAAGUCAGAGGUGAAAUCCCGGAGCUCAACUUCGGAACUGCCUUUGAUACUGGCAAUCUCGAGUCUGGAAGAGGUUAGUGGAACUGCGAGUGUAGAGGUGAAAUUCGUAGAUAUUCGCAAGAACACCAGUGGCGAAGGCGGCUAACUGGUCCAGUACUGACGCUGAGGUGCGAAAGCGUGGGGAGCAAACAGG